AGUGGUUUGGGGACCUGGUGACACCAGUGUGGUGGGAGGAUGUUUGGCUAAAAGAGGGAUUUGCCCAUUUCUUUGAAUUCUUGGGUGCAGACUUCCUCUUCCCAGACUGGCACAUGGAGAAGCAGAGGUUCCUGACGGAUGUUCUACACGAGGUGAUGCUACUUGAUGGCCUCGCCAGCUCCCACCCCAUAUCCCAGGAGGUGCUGAAGGCAACAGACAUAGACAGAGUGUUUGACUGGAUUGCCUAUAAAAAGGGUGCUGCAUUAAUCCGAAUGCUUGCAAAUGUUAUGGGACAGCCAGUGUUCCAGAUGGGAUUAAACG
Acipenser ruthenus (sterlet) is the source of this 321-nucleotide long non-coding RNA. RefSeq lists it as uncharacterized. The record is from RefSeq and is a predicted model, not a curated record. NCBI's taxonomy places the organism in Eukaryota, Metazoa, Chordata, Actinopteri, Acipenseriformes, Acipenseridae. The transcript is spliced from 3 exons.